RNAcentral lists this ribosomal RNA (201 nucleotides) under uncultured Bacillota bacterium. Its description in RNAcentral is "uncultured Firmicutes bacterium partial 16S ribosomal RNA". It matches the Rfam family "Bacterial small subunit ribosomal RNA", at positions 285 to 502 of the family's 1533-position model. The record is from RNAcentral. Lineage: Bacteria; Bacillati; Bacillota.
AGCCGACCUGAGAGGGUGACCGGCCACAUUGGGACUGAGACACGGCCCAAACUCCUUCGGGAGGCAGCCGUGGGGAAUUUUGCACAAUGGGGGAAACCCUGAUGCCGCGACGCCGCGUGAGCGAAGAAGUAUUUCGGUAUGUAAAACUCUAUCAGCAGGGAAGAAGAAUGACGGUACCUGACUAAGAAGCACCGGCUAAAU